This 410-nucleotide ribosomal RNA is filed under the name uncultured bacterium. Its description in RNAcentral is "bacterial SSU rRNA". It matches the Rfam family "Bacterial small subunit ribosomal RNA", at positions 29 to 441 of the family's 1533-position model. The record is from RNAcentral.
AUUGAACGCUGGCGGCAGGCCUAACACAUGCAAGUCGAACGCGAAAGUCCUUCGGGAUGAGUAGAGUGGCGGACGGGUGAGUAACGCGUGGGAAUCUGCCCUGUAGUGGGGGAGUAACGUUCCGAAAGGGACGCUAAUACCGCAUACGCCCCAAGGGGAAAGCGGGGGAGUCUUCGGACCUCGUGCUACAGGAUGAGCUUGCGUCGGAUUAGCUAGUUGGUGGGGUAAAGGCCUACCAAGGCGACGAUCCGUAGCUGGUCUGAGAGGAUGAUCAGCCACACCGGGACUGAGACACGGCCCGGACUCCUACGGGAGGCAGCAGUGGGGAAUAUUGCGCAAUGGGGGCAACCCUGACGCAGCCAUGCCGCGUGUGUGAAGAAGGCCUUCGGGUUGGUUAAAGACGACUUUAC